Molecule: long non-coding RNA, 1280 nt
Filed under: Ananas comosus (pineapple)
Lineage: Eukaryota; Viridiplantae; Streptophyta; Magnoliopsida; Poales; Bromeliaceae
Description: long non-coding RNA (ACOM_LNC007341)
Source: RNAcentral
AAUUUUAAAUUAUUAAUUUUUCGGCUAUGUUUGGUUGAAGGAAUAAGGAAGGAAUAAGAGAAUUAUUUCUCUUAUUCUUUCAAACGCCAUUAAAAUUUACUGUUCUCCUCUUAACGGACCAUUUUAGAAUAACCCGUUAAGAGAAGAGAAUAGUAGUUCCACUCUUUUGUUGGAAUAAGUCAUUCGCUAUUUUAUCCCUCUACUAAUAAAGUUAUAAAUAAUGUAAAAUAUUAUUAAUUAAUACAAUUAACUUUUUAAUAAUUAACUAAUUAAUUAUUUGACUUAUUAACUUAAUAAGUAUCUCAAUAGUAAUUAAUUUAUUAUUAAUAAUUAAUUAGCUAAUUAAACAAUUAAAAUUGAUAUGCUUAUACAAUCAUUAACUAAUAUUUAUAUUAGUUACAUAAUUAAUAUUUUAAUUUAUAAAAUUAAUAUAUUAACUAAAAAUAUAAUUGAUUAAAUAUUAACAUAUCGACUUACUUUUUAGGAUUAUUCACUAAUUAAUGUAAUUCUUUAUCAUCUCAUAUAAUUUUUUCAAUUAAUUAAUUUAUUAAUUUGUUAAAAUAUUACUUUACUAAUAUUUAAAUACUUAUUAUUUAGACAAAUUACUUUCUUUUGCAAUCAUAAUUACUUUUAUUUUUACUAUUCAAUCCAAUUAUCCCUCAUAAUAUCUGGUGGAUUCUCGUCCAAACGCAAAAUUAAUUUAAUUCUUAUUUAUUUCAAAAUUUAUAUUUAUUUUAUAAAUAAAUAAAAAUAAUUUAUUUUCGAAUCAAAGAGUAUCUAAGGCUACGUUUGGUUUGGGACCCUUUGUACUCAAGAACAGUAAUUCUUAUAUUUCUAGAAUAAGCUGGCAUAAGACUAGAACGGUUGUUCUACCCUUUUUCUGGAACAAGUUUGCUCCCAGGUGGUAACAAGAUUAAUUAAAGUCUAAAUUUAAUUUUAAUUAUAAUAUUUAAUUAUUAAUUAAUCUACUUAAUAUAUUUAAAUUAUUAUUUAUUGCUUAAAUAAUAAAAUGAUUAAUUAAUUUAUUAUUUAUAAUUAAUUAUUAAAAAUAAUUUUAAUUUAAAAUUAUAACUUUUAUUGUACUUAUUCUAAUCUAAUCAUCCAAAUAUUAUUUAUCUUAUUUUAAGGAACAAUCUAAUUUUUAUCCAAACACAAAAUUAAUUUAAUUUUUAUUUAUAUUUAAAUUUAUAUUUAUUUCUAAAAUAAACUGUUCUUAUUUAUACCCGAACCAUAUUAAUUCAAUCCAAUAAUACGUGUACAAAUGACAUUCCUCUUUUCCC